Molecule: ribosomal RNA, 299 nt
Filed under: Leptalpheus denticulatus
Lineage: Eukaryota; Metazoa; Arthropoda; Malacostraca; Decapoda; Alpheidae
Description: partial small subunit ribosomal RNA
Source: RNAcentral
GUGCCUGGAGUAGUAAAUAGAUAUAGGCUCGAAACUUAAAGAAUUUGGCGGUAUUUAAGUCUAGUUAGAGGAACCUGUGCUGUAAACGAUAAACCACGAAUAUCUUACUUUGUCUAGGUGAGGCAGUACGUAUACCGCCAUUGCUGUCGAUAAUUUUUGAAGGGGUUUGUUGAGAUAGAUUUCGGAUCUAGUAUAUUAGGUCAAGGUGCGGCUAAUGAUAAAGUAGACAUGGGUUACAUUAAUAUUAGUGAGUGCGGAUGGACCUGGUAAGUUGGGUCUUGUAAGGUGGAUUUAAUAGU